RNAcentral lists this ribosomal RNA (377 nucleotides) under Talaromyces atricola. Its description in RNAcentral is "partial large subunit ribosomal RNA". It matches the Rfam family "Eukaryotic large subunit ribosomal RNA", at positions 224 to 628 of the family's 3401-position model. The record is from RNAcentral. Lineage: Eukaryota; Fungi; Ascomycota; Eurotiomycetes; Eurotiales; Trichocomaceae.
UGGGAUGGGUGGUCCCGCCCGUGUGAAGCUCCUUCGAAGAGUCGAGUUGUUUGGGAAUGCAGCUCUAAGAGGGUGGUAAAUUUCAUCUAAAGCUAAAUAUUGGCCGGAGACCGAUAGCGCACAAGUAGAGUGAUCGAAAGAUGAAAAGCACUUUGAAAAGAGAGUUAAACAGCACGUGAAAUUGUUGAAAGGGAAGCGUUGGCAACCAGACUCGCCCGGGAGGGCUCAGCCGGCACGUGUGCCGGUGCACUCCCCCCCGGGCGGGCCAGCGUCGGUUUGGGCGGUCGGUCAAAGGUCUUGGGAAUGUAGCACCCUCCGGGGUGCCUUAUAGCCCGAGGCGCCAUGCGACCUGCCCGGACCGAGGAACGCGGACGCUG